CCUACGGGAGACAGCAGUGGGGGAUAUUGCACAAUGGGGGAAACCCUGAUGCAGCGACGCCGCGUGGGCGAAGAAGUAUUUCGGUAUGUAAAGCCCUAUCAGCAGGGAAGAAGAAAUGACGGUACCUGAGUAAGAAGCACCGGCUAAAUAAGUGCCAGCAGCCGCGGUCAUUCGUAGGGUGAAAGCUUUAUCCGGAUUUACUGGGUGUAAAGGGAGCGCAGGCGGCACAGCAAGCUUGAUGUGAAAGCCCGCGGCCCAACCGCGGGACUGCAUUGGAAACUACCGGGCUGGAGUGCCGGAGAGGUAGGCGGAAUUCCUAGUGUAGCGGUGGAAGGCGUAGAUAUUAGGAGGAACACCAGUGGCGAAGGCGGCCUACUGGACGGUAACUGACGCUGAGGCUCGAAAGCGUGGGGAGCAAACAGGAUUAGAUACCCGGGUAGUC
This 442-nucleotide ribosomal RNA is filed under the name uncultured bacterium. RNAcentral's name for it is "partial 16S ribosomal RNA". It matches the Rfam family "Bacterial small subunit ribosomal RNA", at positions 338 to 795 of the family's 1533-position model. The record is from RNAcentral.